CGACGCUGGCGGCGUGCCUAACACAUGCAAGUCAACUUGACUGAAGGAGCAAUCUGACAGUAGAGUGGGCGCAAGGUGCGUAACGCUAAGUAACUUGCCCAAGGUAAGGAAUAACGUCGAGAAAUCGGCGCUAAUACCUCAUAAUGCAGCGGAUCCGCAUGGAUAUGUUGUUAAAGGUUUACCGCCUUGGGAUAGGCUUGCGUCUGAUUAGCUAGUUGGUGUGGUAACGGCACACCAAGGCUACGAUCAGUAACUGGUCUGAGAGGAUGAUCAGUCACACUGGAACUGAGACACGGUCCAGACUCCUACGGGAGGCAGCAGUGAGGAAUAUUGGGCAAUGCUCGAAAGAGUGACCCAGCAACGCCGCGUGGAGGAUGAAGGUAUUCUAUAUCGUAAACUCCUGUGAGAGCAGACGAAAGACAGAUUAUUAAUCUGGAUGACUGUAUGCUCAGAGGAAGCCCCGGCUAACUACGUG
RNAcentral lists this ribosomal RNA (475 nucleotides) under uncultured bacterium. RNAcentral describes it as "bacterial SSU rRNA". It matches the Rfam family "Bacterial small subunit ribosomal RNA", at positions 32 to 507 of the family's 1533-position model. The record is from RNAcentral.